AUGAGAAUCGAAUGCCACUGCUGAUCUGACAGGAGGCGGAGCUCAGGCGGUCAUGUUUGCCUUCGCCCCGGGGCUCACCUCCGUCUGUGCAGCCCGGUUCCUAGCAGGCCACAAAGGGGUACUGGUCUGCGGCCUGGGGUGUGGGGACCCCUGCCUUAGAGCAAAAGAGUUUUGGGGUGUGGUGAGAAUACCUUGCCCGGGUGAGGAAGGCUUCCUGGAUUGGAAUGCGGCGUCCAAACUGAUACCUGAUCGUCGGCGAGCACUAGGCCAGGGGAAAGGUCUCCAGGCUGCCAGACUGCUGGGCAGAUGAUGGCUCUUCUAUCCACGGCACCUGGUUGGAUGUCAGGAGUACUGAGGAGUGUGUGUGUGUGUGUGUGUGUAUGUGUGUAUGUGUGUGUGCGCGCGCGCGCGCGCGCGCGUGUGAGUGUGUGUGUAUUUUUGUGCAGAGCAAGCGUGAAGGAAGCCAGCAGGAGCCAUACCCAUGAGUUGAAAAUAUCAGAAAGGGGAGCUAUGACCUGCAAGACACAUUGUGAUUGUGGUGUCUUGGCCAUUGUCCAUUGGGACCACAGGAAGGUCAGGGAUGCACUUCUGCUUGGUCCUACGGCUGGCAGUUGGGAGAUGCGGGCGUGGGGAGCGGAGCCCGGCCCAGCAGGCUCUGCCUCUUGGUGACUCCACUCCAGGUUUCAGUUUGGUUGCCUCCUUGACGGUCUAGAUCCCUAACCCCCAGAUCCACCAGAGCUGCUGAGAAACUGGGACAAGCCUCCACAGAGGCAAGCGACUUGGGGUAUGUGUGGGUAUAUGGGUGUGGAUGAGAGAGUGAGCGAGCGAAGGAGUUCACCAGUAUAGACGCCAGUAGCAGCUACCCUUCCAGUUGUGACAACCUAAAGUGUCCCAAACAUUGUCAAAUGUCAGAUAUCUGGCAAGGAGAGCCGGGAGUUGUUCCUGGUUGAGAACCACUGAUUUAGAGAUUGUAGCUUUCCUUUUCCAUUGCUGCUUAUGGGUUAAGCCUCAAGUCUUUUCCAGAAGGGUUGGAUUGUGACUUGUACAGCCUCUUCCUGGAGACUUCCACCCACCAAAUUGAAAGGGUCACAGGCUGACUCAGGGGGUGAAGAGCCUGGGUUCAACCGAGGAAAGGGCCGGGGCCUGCUUUCCUCCCGUGGCCUCGGCUGCAGCCCGCGAGCUUGGGAGAAAGUAGCUGCUGGCCUGGCCGGGGGUGCUGCGCUCUGCUCCCGGUUUCUCUCUUCCAACAGUUAGAACAUGAAAGCUGGAAGAGAUCCGAGAGGGUGUCUAUCUAGUUCAACACCUGCCCCUUCCCUUAAAAAAGUGUUUACGAUGAGAACACUGACAUUCAGAGCCCUGAAGCGUGUCUUCUAGGGCUACGUAGCUUUUAUGAGGUAGAAGUAAGACCAGGUCCAGGUGUCCUGACUUCCAGCCUAGAGCUUUUACUGCUCCAUGGGCAGCCUCUCUGAGUCCCCUAUUAAAAUGCAGUCCCCCUGGAGGGCACACACCAUAAACUAGAUGAGUGGCUGCUUAAUAAAUGACCUUGAAACUUAGUGGCUCGAAACAAAAAUAAAUAGUCUCUCAGUUUCUCUGGGUCAGGAAUUUGGGAGCAGCUUGGCUGGGCAGUUCUGCCUCAGAGUCUCUCAUAAGUUUCAGUGAGAUGUUGGCCAGCGCUUUUGAGUAUAGACUUUGGUCAAGAAUCUUCUCUUGGCCGGGCACUAUGGUUCACACCUGUAAUCCCAGCACUUUGGGAGGCCAUGAUAGGAGGAUCACUUGAGGCCAGGAAUUUGAGGCUAGCCUGGGCAACUUGGUGAGACCCUGUCUCUACAAAAACUACAAAAAUAAGCCGAGUGUGGUGGCAUGUGCCUGUGGUCCCAGGUACCUGGAAGACUUGGGUGGGAGGAUUGCUUGAGCCCAGGAGGCCAAGGCUGUAGUGAGCCAUGAUGGCACCACUGCAACUUCAGCUUGGGUGACAGAGUGAGGCCCUGUCUCAAAACAAAACAAAACAAAAACCCACAAAAAUCUUCUCUAAGCCUCAAUUUUCUCAUGUGUAAAAUGGAGAUAAUAACAGAAGUUAUUUCAUAGGCUGUUAUGAGGAUUAAAAAAAUAAUUCUUUUGUGGCAGAGAUUUUCAGUUUCUUACUCUAAUAUCACUUCCUCUUUCUUCCUUUGUAAUAGAAGCUCUAAUAUUUAGCUGGAAAGUUGGCUGCCUGGAAUAAAAGUCUACAUUUUUCAUCUUUUUUUUUUGUUUUUUGUUUUUCCAACCAGUUCUGUUUGAAGACAUGUAUAGAAGUGGUAUAUGGCACCUUUCAGGGAACUUUCUUUAAAAAACAGUAUCUCCAUUUGCUCCUUUUAUUGGUUGCCCUCCUCUACUCUGCUUCCUGGAAUGUGGAUGUGAUGGUUGGAGCUCUGGUUGCCAACUUGGAACACGAGGAUGAGCAGCACACCCCUGGGAUGAUGGAGUGAUGGACUGGAGGGAGUUUGGGUUCCAGAAAGUUUUGUGGAAUUGUCAUACCAAUCUUGCACUGCCUAGGUGAUAGAGAAAUAAAGUUAAAAUUGUUUUUUUCUGCCGGGCGCAGUGUCUCAUGCCUGUAAUCCCAGCACUUUGGGAGGCCGAGGUGAGUGGAUCACUGGAGGUCAGGAGUUCGAGGCCAGCCUGGCCAACAUGGCAAAACCCCAUCUCUACUAAAAAUACAAAAAUAUUAGCCGGGUGUGGUGACACAUGCCUGUAAUCCCAGCUACUUCGGAGGCUGAGGCAGGAGAAUCACUUGAACCCAGGAGGUGGAAGCUGCAGUGAGCUGCACUCCAGCCUGGGAGACAGAGCAAGACUCUAUCUCAAAAAAAAAAAAAAAAAAAAAGUUGCCCUCAAACAUUCUGCUAUCCAAGAGAAAUAAACUUUUAUCUUGGCCAAACAGAUAUUUUGUGCUUUCUGGCUCAUGCAACUGAACUGAACAUCCUAUUUGCUUACACUGUUAGCAAAUGCCUGGUAGUCAGGAGGUGCUCAGUACCCUGGUGAGCAUUUUGAUUUCAAAGCUGGGGUCAAACCAGUCAACCAAAUCUCAUAACCUGGAUGUGGGGAGAGUAAAGGGGACAGCCAGGACAGUGGAGAAAGAGCUCUGGGGUCAGGAGACCUGGGUCACAGUUGUAGCUCUCCUCUCUCCGCCUCAAUUUAAUUUUAAUUUUAUUUAUUUAUUUAUUUUUGAGAUAGAGUCGCACUCUGUCACCCAGGUUGGAGUG
RNAcentral lists this long non-coding RNA (3236 nucleotides) under Pongo abelii (Sumatran orangutan). RNAcentral's name for it is "lncRNA (ENSPPYG00000037860.1)". Lineage: Eukaryota; Metazoa; Chordata; Mammalia; Primates; Hominidae. The record is from RNAcentral.